This 253-nucleotide ribosomal RNA is filed under the name uncultured bacterium. RNAcentral's name for it is "partial 16S ribosomal RNA". It matches the Rfam family "Bacterial small subunit ribosomal RNA", at positions 524 to 776 of the family's 1533-position model. The record is from RNAcentral.
UCCGUAGGCAGCGAGCGUUGUUCGGAGUUACUGGGCGUAAAGAGUGCGUAGGCGGUUUUCUAAGUUUGGUGUGAAAUCUCCCGGCUCAACUGGGAGGGUGCGCCGAAGACUGGAAGGCUAGAGUAUGGGAGAGGUAAGCGGAAUUCCUGGUGUAGCGGUGAAAUGCGUAGAUAUCAGGAGGAACACCUGCGGUGUAGACGGCUUACUGGACCAUAACUGACGCUGAGGCACGAAAGCGUGGGUAGCAAACAGG